This 223-nucleotide small RNA is filed under the name Arabidopsis thaliana (thale cress). RNAcentral's name for it is "ATSL259770". The record is from RNAcentral. Lineage: Eukaryota; Viridiplantae; Streptophyta; Magnoliopsida; Brassicales; Brassicaceae.
UUUUAAUUCCUUUGGCUAAGAGUGUCGAAUUUAUAUACAGUAAGACUUCUAUAAAUUAAUACUCGAUAAAUUAAUAACCUCUAUAAAUUAAUAAAUUCUUUUGAUCUCGGGUUGGACCAGUGUAAAAAUUGAUACAAAUCGAUAAAUUAAUAAGAUAUUUUUUUUGAAAAUCCUAUGUAAAUAUAUGGUCCCAUCAAUAUUAUAAAUUAAUAAUUGUAUAAAU